Molecule: long non-coding RNA, 1515 nt
Filed under: Cyanistes caeruleus (blue tit)
Lineage: Eukaryota; Metazoa; Chordata; Aves; Passeriformes; Paridae
Description: lncRNA (ENSCCEG00000005173.1)
Source: RNAcentral
GCCUUGGCUGCUCUUUGCCAGAUGCAGCCANNNNNNNNNNNNNNNNNNNNNNNNNNNNNNNNNNNNNNUGGGUGGAGGAGGAGGAGGAGGAAGAGGAAGAAGGCCCUGGAGCUGCCCCAGGACCAGAGACUGAAGAGGUGCAGCAGUUCCAGCCGCUGGAGGAGGAUGCAGCCAUGGACAGGACACAAGAGCAGGAGCCUGCCCGUGGCCGCUUCCACAGAGCAGCGCAGAGGUUCCGCAAGUUCCUGCGCAUUCGGCAUAGAAAGAUCAGCCCCAUAGGAACUGAGGGCACAGCUGAGCCUGACUCCGGGCUGACCGAGCUCCAGGCAGAGCCUGAUGUCAGCCCAGAUUCAGCUGAGUGCUCAGAAGACUCUGACACUGCAGUGAAUGAUGAGAGGGAAAACUCUGACAUGGCAGUAACUGAGGAUGUGGCUAUUCCAAAUGAUGAUGCUGGAGAGACUCAGGGCAUUGCAGAUGCUGACAUCACACCCACUCCUGCUCUGAGUCAGGAACUCAUAAGGGACAAUUUCAAGGACAACUGUGUUUCUUCUGAGCAGCAGGUGCCAGCUAUUGUAAGGAACAUUCACCAGAGUCUGGUGUCCCAUGUCACUGUGGAUGUCAGGCAGCAAAUUGACAUUAUAAGGCUGGCUGAAGAACACCCUGCUGAUGUGGUGCUGACCCUCCUGCACUGUGCCCCAUCGUGUGACAGAGCUGCUGAAAUGAUGUGGAGAGCCAUAGGCUCGUCGGGACCAACAGUAGAGAAAGUGCUGCCAACACUGCUCUGUGUGAUGGAGGAUUGGCCUCUGCACAGCAUCUGCACCUCUGAUGGAGACAACAAGGAUGUUUUUGCUCUGGCUGCAACUCUGGUGCUCUGGCUGAUUAUCCAAGCGCCUGAGUGCCACGAGGCGUUGAUCCUUUAUUCCGCCCGCCUGUUUCUGGCUCUGCUGUUCCAUGUUGUCAUCACCACCCAGCAGACGCCACCAGUGGAAGUUGACAGCUUCUGGAGAGCAUGCCGGGAGGAAUACUGCCUUCCCAGAAAACCCAACAGGUUUGCAGUGCAGGCCAUGAAGGCUCUGCUUUUCCGACUGCGGUGUGAGAGUGUGGUCAUGGAAAUGCGAUGCAAGUGUGGCUGGGACACGCUGCUCUGUGCUGACACCCAGCACUAUGCCGUGGGUCUGCUGGCCAGGGAGAUGCACGGUGCCUCCCUCUCUUUGUGUUCUGGGAUUGCACUCCGCCUGCUCCAGCUGCUCAGCAGAGAGGAACCACCCUGGGAUCUGCCCUUCCUGGCAUUCUUUGUGGAGGUCCUGGAUUGCCUGAACUUGCGUAAAUGUGGUGACAGUGUCCUGGAGAUCAUGUCAAAGCACCUGCAGAGCAAGUGCAGGCAGAGGCGUCGCCUGGCAUUCAGAGGCCUCAUGGUGCUCAGCAAAUUUCCUUCGAUGAGAGAGAGAAGGAGGAGAAAGAGAAAGAUAACAUGAAGAAGACAUCAUAAAACCCUCAAAGACAGUGACGAAAAGA